UACGAAGGGUGCAAACGUUGCUCGGAAUUAUUGGGCGUAAAGGGCGCGUAGGCGGCCACGCACGUCCGUUGUGAAAUCGCCCGGCUCAACUGGGCGGGGUCAGCGGAUACGGUGUGGCUAGAGCAAGCUAGGGGGCAAUGGAAUUCCCGGUGUAGUGGUGGAAUGCGUAGAUAUCGGGAGGAACACCAGUGGCGAAGGCGGUUGCCUGGAGCUUUGCUGACGCUGAUGCGCGAAAGCGUGGGGAGCGAUCCGG
Molecule: ribosomal RNA, 253 nt
Filed under: uncultured bacterium
Lineage: Bacteria
Description: partial 16S ribosomal RNA
Rfam family: Bacterial small subunit ribosomal RNA
Source: RNAcentral